UCAAGCUACUAAGGGCAUACGGUGGAUGCCUUGGCACUAAGAGCCGAUGAAGGACGCGGUAAGCUGCGAAAAGCCACGGGGAACUGCAAGCAAGUCUUGAUCCGUGGAUGUCCGAAUGGGGAAACCCACCAUCCGUCAUGGGAUGGUAUCCUACGGGAGGGGAACCCGGUGAACUGAAACAUCUAAGUAGCCGGAGGAAGAGAAAUCAAACGAGAUGCCCACAGUAGCGGCGAGCGAAGAGGGCAGAGCCUAAACCAGUCAUCUUCGGAUGGUUGGGGUUACGGACCUGCAUCAACCGAGUCCUACCUAGUCGAAUUACCUGGAAAGGUAAGCCAGAGAGCGUAAGAGCCGCGUAGGUGAAAGGAAGGACGAGGGGGCAGGGAUCCAGAGUACCACGAAGCACGAGGAAUUUUGUGGGAAGUCGGGGGGACCACCCUCCAAGGCUAAACACUUCUUAGUGACCGAUAGCGCAUAGUACCGUGAGGGAAAGGUGAAAAGAACCGCGGGAGCGGAGUGAAAGAGAACCUGAAACCGUAUGUCUACAAGCAGUCGGAGCGCAAGCGACGGCGUGCCUAUUGAAGAAUGAGCCAACGAGUUACGGGCACCAGCGAGGUUAAGCAGGAAAUGCGGAGCCGGAGCGAAAGCGAGUCUAAACAGGGCGAAUAGUUGGUGUUCGUAGACCCGAAACUGUAGUGAUCUACCCAUGAUCAGGUUGAAGCGCAGGUAAAAAUGCGUGGAGGACCGAACCGGUGAGCGUUGAAAAGCUUUCGGAUGAAUCGUGGGUAGCGGUGAAAUUCCAAUCGAACGCAGAGAUAGCUGGUUCUCCUCGAAAUAGCUUUAGGGCUAGCCUCAAGCAGUAAGCAUAGGCGGUAGAGCACUGAUCGGGAUAGGGUCCGUAAAGGAUACCGAACCCUGUCAAACUACGAAUGGUUAUGCUGCAGAGCUUGGGAGUCAGACUACGAGAGAUAAGUCCCGUUGUCAAAAGGGAAACAGCCCAGACCGUCAGCUAAGGUCCCCAAUGCCAUACUAAGUGGAAAAGGAUGUGGGGUCUCAUAAACAACCAGGAUGUUGGCUCAGAAGCAGCCACCAUUUAAAGAGUGCGUAAUAGCUCACUGGUCGAGAGGCCCUGCGCCGAAGAUUCCCGGGGCUAAAGUAUGGAACCGAAGCUACGGAUGCGGUACUUGUACCGCGUGGUAGAGGAGCGUUCCCAUUGGGUUGAAGUCGUCCUGGAAGGGACGGUGGACUGGUGGGAAGUGAGAAUGUUGGCAUGAGUAGCGAAAAGAUAGGUGAGAAUCCUAUCCACCGAAAGCAUAAGGAUUCCUGAGCAACGAUCGUCGUCUCAGGGUAAGUCGGGACCUAAUCCGAGGCAUGGAGCGUAGGAGAUGGACAACUGGUUGAUAUUCCAGUACCGGCAGCAAUCGUUUGAACGAUGGAGUGACGCAGGAAGGCAGGUCCGCGCGAGAAUGGUAGAUCGCGUACAAGCGUGCAGGCUGGUGCACAGGCAAAUCCGUGUACUGAGGCUGAGGCGUGAUGUGGAGGGAACUUGUUCCCGAAGGGAUUGAGCCUACGCUGCCGAGAAAAGCUUCUAGUGAGAGAGCUGCCGCCCGUACCGUAAACCGACACAGGUAUGCGGGGAGAGAAUCCUAAGGUGCGCGGGAGAACCCUCGUUAAGGAACUCGGCAAAAUGUACCCGUAACUUCGGGAUAAGGGUAGCCGCUGUUGUGAAGUCUGAACAGACGGAGCAUGAGGCGGUCGCAGAGAAGAGGCCCAAGCGACUGUUUACCACAAACACAGGUGCCUGCUAAAGAGAAAUCUGACGUAUAGGUGCUGACACCUGCCCAGUGCCGGAAGGUUAAGGAAGGAUGUCCGGAGCAAUCCAAAGCAUUCGACCGAAGCCCCGGUGAACGGCGGCCGUAACUAUAACGGUCCUAAGGUAGCGAAAUUCCUUGUCGGGUAAG
This 1958-nucleotide ribosomal RNA is filed under the name human gut metagenome. RNAcentral's name for it is "bacterial LSU rRNA". It matches the Rfam family "Bacterial large subunit ribosomal RNA", at positions 3 to 1980 of the family's 2925-position model. The record is from RNAcentral.